This 468-nucleotide ribosomal RNA is filed under the name uncultured bacterium. Its description in RNAcentral is "partial 16S ribosomal RNA". It matches the Rfam family "Bacterial small subunit ribosomal RNA", at positions 28 to 507 of the family's 1533-position model. The record is from RNAcentral.
GACGAACGCUGGCGGCGUGCUUAACACAUGCAAGUCGAACGGAAAGGCCCUGCUUUUGUUGGGUGCUCGAGUGGCUAACGGGUGAGUAACACGUGAGUAGCCUGCCCUUGACUUUGGGAUAACUUCAGGAAACUGGGGCUAAUACCGGAUAGGAGCUCCUGCUUCAUGGUGGGGGUUGGAAAGUUUCGGCGGUUGGGGAUGGACUCGCGGCUUAUCAGCUUGUUGGUGGGGUAGUGGCUUACCAAGGCUUUGACGGGUAGCCGGCCUGAGAGGGUGACCGGCCACAUUGGGACUGAGAUACGGCCCAGACUCCUACGGGAGGCAGCAGUGGGGAAUAUUGCACAAUGGGCGGAAGCCUGAUGCAGCAACGACGCGUGCGGGAUGACGGCCUUCGGGUUGUAAACCGUUUUCGCCUGUGACGAAGCGUGAGUGAAGGUAAUGGGUAAAGAAGCACCGGCUAACUACGUG